UACGAGAGGCGCAAACGUUAUUCGGAUUUACUGGGCUUAAAGAGUUCGUAGGCGGCGCAGAAAGUAGGGUGUGAAAGCCCUCGGCUCAACCGAGGAAUUGCGCUCUAAACUACUGUGCUUGAGGAAGCUAGAGGUGAGCGGAACUGAUGGUGGAGCGGUGAAAUGCGUUGAUAUCAUCAGGAGCACCGGAGGCGAAGGCGGCUCACUGGGGCUUAUCUGACGCUGAGGAACGAAAGCCAGGGGAGCGAACGGG
This 253-nucleotide ribosomal RNA is filed under the name uncultured bacterium. Its description in RNAcentral is "partial 16S ribosomal RNA". It matches the Rfam family "Bacterial small subunit ribosomal RNA", at positions 524 to 776 of the family's 1533-position model. The record is from RNAcentral.